This 442-nucleotide ribosomal RNA is filed under the name uncultured bacterium. RNAcentral's name for it is "partial 16S ribosomal RNA". It matches the Rfam family "Bacterial small subunit ribosomal RNA", at positions 338 to 795 of the family's 1533-position model. The record is from RNAcentral.
CCUACUGGAGGCAUCAUUGGGGCAUCUUGGGCAAUGGGCGCAAGCCUGACCCAGCAAUGCCGCGUGACGUCCUCCUUCUUUCCUUUUCUCCCCUUCCUUUUCCCGUUCCUCCCCGAAGACGGUACCCUGAAAACAAGCCACGGCUAACUGCGUGCCAGCAGCCGCGGUCAGACGUAGGUGGCAAGCGUUGUCCGGAUGUACUGGGUGUAAAGGGCGUGGUGCCGGGAAGGCAAGUCAGAUGUGAAAGCUGGAGGCUCAACCUCCAACUUGCAUUUGAAACUGGUUUUCUUGAGUACGGGAGAGGCAUACGGAAUUCCGUGUGUAGCGGUGAAAUGCGUAGAUAGAGGGAGGAACACCAGUGGCGAGGGCGGUCUGCUGGACAGCAACUGACGGUGAGGCGCGAAAGCGUGGGGAGCAAACAGGAUUAGAUACCCGAGUAGUC